CUGACUGAAAGGGGGAUGGAAGAGAGAGGCAGGACCCAGACGCUGAGAUAAGGCAUUGUAGGCACUGCAGUCACAGGAUGGGGGUUGAAACCCACUGCCCGAGGCAGAAAUAGGCUGGUGACUUGGCAGCGGAGUCAGGCAACCUCACCAGGCGUACACCUGCAAAACGAAUGGCUCUUUUAGGAAAACCCAGCUGCAGCGAGAUUCCCCUGGCUCUGGGGCAUGGAGUUGGACCAGGCAUCCUGGGCAUCGUCGGGGAGGCUGGGAUGGGUUUGCAUGUCCUCCUGCCUAUCGUUCCUGAUUCCUGUAGGACAGAAUGAACGGGGAUGUGGCCUUUAACUUCACAGACCUGAGGGUCCCUGCCUGAAAGUAGUGCCCCAAGGGCCUAAUCAAAACCAGGUCUCCAGGGAGCUGUACAAACACACACAAGGUCAUAGUCCUUGUCCCAAAGGAAUCCAAGAAGACAAAUGAUCUACAACGUUCAGCGAACAAGCGGUACGAUCGAAUAGAUACAAUUUGUUAAUAGAGAUACAUUUCUUUUUAAAUGUGAUUUAUUCUUAUAAAUGGUUAAAGGGUGGGACUUUCCAAAGUAAUAAGGUGCCCAAUUCCCAUUGAUUUUUCAUUGACAGAGAUUAAUGUUUUGUUUUCAACUAUGUAAAAUGCCUAGAUGCUUUGGCAGUGGAAGGAUAAUAUAUCAAUCAAUGAAUAAUAUUUCUGCUUGCUAAAUUCAGUAUGUAUUCAGUGACUGA
This is a long non-coding RNA of Caretta caretta (loggerhead turtle), 749 nucleotides long. RefSeq lists it as uncharacterized. The record is from RefSeq and is a predicted model, not a curated record. Lineage: Eukaryota; Metazoa; Chordata; Testudines; Cheloniidae.